RNAcentral lists this ribosomal RNA (442 nucleotides) under uncultured bacterium. RNAcentral's name for it is "partial 16S ribosomal RNA". It matches the Rfam family "Bacterial small subunit ribosomal RNA", at positions 338 to 795 of the family's 1533-position model. The record is from RNAcentral.
CCUACGGGCGGCUGCAGUGGGGAAUAUUGGGCAAUGGGCGCAAGCCUGAACCAGCAACGCCGCGUGAAGGAAGAAGGCUCUCGGGUUGUAAACUUCUUUUUAGCGGGAAGAGCAGAAGCCGGUACCUCUUGAAUAAGCCACGGCUAACUACGUGCCAGCAGCCGCGGUAAUACGGAGGAGGCAAGCGUUGUCCGGAUUUACUGGGUGUAAAGGGCGUGCAGCCGGGAAGACAAGUCAGAUGUGAAAACCUGCGGCGCAACCGCGGGACUGCAGUUGAAACUGGUUUUCUUGAGUACCGGAGAGGUCAGCGGAAUGCCUGGUGUAGCGGUGAAAUGCGUAGAUAUAAGGAAGAACACCAGUGGCGAAGGCGGAUUACUGGACGGCUACUGACGGUGAGGCGCGAAAGCGUGGGUAUCAAACAGGAUUAGAUACCCCUGUAGUC